Molecule: ribosomal RNA, 566 nt
Filed under: uncultured bacterium
Lineage: Bacteria
Description: partial 16S ribosomal RNA
Rfam family: Bacterial small subunit ribosomal RNA
Source: RNAcentral
UGGGGAAUAUUGGACAAUGGGCGCAAGCCUGAUCCAGCAAUGCCGCGUGUGUGAAGAAGGCCUUCGGGUUGUAAAGCACUUUUAUCAGGAGCGAAACGCUGUCGGCUAAUACCCGGCGGAACUGACGGUACCUGAGGAAUAAGCACCGGCUAACUUCGUGCCAGCAGCCGCGGUAAUACGAAGGGUGCAAGCGUUAAUCGGAAUUACUGGGCGUAAAGCGUGCGUAGGCGGUUUCUUAAGUCUGCUGUGAAAUCCCCGGGCUCAACCUGGGAAUGGCAGUGGAUACUGGGAGGCUAGAGUGUGUCAGAGGGUGGUGGAAUUCCCGGUGUAGCGGUGAAAUGCGUAGAGAUCGGGAGGAACAUCAGUGGCGAAGGCGGCCACCUGGGACAACACUGACGCUGAGGCACGAAAGCGUGGGGGAGCAAACAGGAUUAGGAUACCCUGGUAGUCCACGCCCUAAAACGAUGCGAACUGGAUGUUGGUCUCAACUCGGAGAUCAGUGUCGAAGCUAACGCGUUAAGUUCGCCGCCUGGGGAGUACGGUCGCAAGACUGAAACUUAAAGGAA